ACAACCUUACUUCAACAUGGUAUGUUGUAUAGGCUAGCACCACCUUAUCCUUGAGCUCUAAGGAGACAAGAAACGAAGUCUGGUUGAUGAAACAGUUG
This 98-nucleotide small nucleolar RNA is filed under the name Solanum tuberosum (potato). RNAcentral describes it as "snoRNA Plant_U3". Lineage: Eukaryota; Viridiplantae; Streptophyta; Magnoliopsida; Solanales; Solanaceae. The record is from RNAcentral.